CACUAAAAUUCUGACACAUGGAAAUUAUUUUAUUAUUUAAAAAAAAAUCAAAUGCAAAAACAGAAUCGUUUAUCAACUGAUAUUUAUUCAUUUAUUUUUUUUACAAAAUAAAAUCCCUAAUAUAUCUCACACUACAUCCAUGAUCUUUCUUUGAAACUCCCUCACGUUGCCAUUUAUUUAAAUUCAACUCUUCCUCCUUUAAAAAUUGUAAUUACCUUUUUUUGCAGCGGUUCCAUUGAUUCUCUCUGCAAUUUCAACUGCAAACCUUAUAGAUUUAUAAUUUCUAAUUAUCGUAUUCACACAGUCAAUGCUACAAUUUUGGAGGAAGAUCGGAAUAGUUUCUCACGAGAAGCCAAAAGGUAGCACAACAAUAGUAUCCAAAAUAUAUUUUUUUAACUAAAUGAACAAAAGAAUUACAGUAUUUGCUAUAGAUUGAUAGGCGGAACGUACUGCAAAAUGGGAGGAUGAAGAUUAAAAUUCAGGUUUGUGAAACUAAAAACAGCCAGACUCUUCAUUCUCUUUUCUUUUUUCUUUUUUCUGAAACUCUUCAUUCUCAAAUAAAUUUAUUUUUCAUGAACUUUUUACUCUUUUAAAUUUUUUUUUCCUUUUUUAGAUAUUUGCAAAAGCUAUAUACUCCACGGUGAACAAUGUAAAGGGAUAGUUCAAAGGAGAGUAACAGAGUCUCACCUAAGCACACGUCAAAAGACCUUACGAGAAUCACCACAAAAGAAAAGAAAAAAAAUGUGGAGACAAUUAAAAAGACAGCAGAGAUGGGAUCUAUGAAACUCGGCUGGUAGAGAAAAAAGAGAAAAAAAAACUAUGGCUGUUCUAGAUCAAACCUCACCCGACCAGGUUGGUUUUUCUUAUUCUUUAUUUUGUGUGUUUAUAAUCUCAAAGAAGUGUGGUGAUACAAUUUUGUUUUUACAUUUUUCAUUUGCAACUUCUGUUAGAAACUAAGACUAUGCAAAUUUUAGUAGUAUAAGAAAAUAAAAACGUAAAAAGUACUAUGAAAACAAAAAUAAAUAUAAAAGAGAAACAAAAGGAAAAAGAGUGCACAAUAUAUUAACGUCAAUUAUUUACAAAAUAUAUGCUUUUCCUCAAUUUGAUUUUUCAUAUGUAAUGAUUUUUUGGUUUUGGUAAAGAUUAUUAGACAACACCAUUUUAAUUUUCUUUUUAAGUUUACCAACAACUAUAACUCUAUUAGUAACAUUUAUUUCCACUGUAAAUUGUAUAACCCUCCAAAUAAAUUUUUCAUAGUCAAUUAUAAUAACAAAUGCCCGUGCAUAGCACGGGAGAAAACACUAGUGUAUUAUAACUUAUAAGUAAAAAGAUAUACAAGUGAUAUGAAUUCAUGACAUGUGCCGUGUGCGUCGAUAAAAAGAGAUUUAAACUAUUUAACUACUACAAUAACUAAGAUAAUAGCACUACAAACUAAAUUUUAUAUAUUUGAUAUGGAUCAAUUGACACCCUCAUGACUCCGCCACUGUUUUAGGGGAACCCAACUAGUAAUCGAAUUAACAUCUCGUGUGUUAGUUUUUGUUUUAAAAGGAACAAAUAAUAAAAAUCUACCAAGUCAUUUUAUGUUUUUAAAUUAAAAAGUUAAAAAUAAAUAAAAAUAAUAAUAGCUGACAAAAAAAAUGAUUUUUUUUUUAAACAUUGUUAACGCCGUGAGCAAAACUCUAAACCAUAAACCCUAAACACUAAACCCUAAACUUUUGGGUAAACCUUAAGUCUUUUGGUAAAUCCUAAACUCGUGGGUAAAUCCUAAACCCUCAAUAUAAACACUAAACCCUAAACGCCGUCAGCAAAUCAUUAGGUUUCGAAUUUACCCAAGGGUUUAGAAUUUACCCAAGGGUUUAGAAUUUACCCAAAGGUUUAGAGUUUACCCAAGGGUUUAAAGUUUUGUGUUUAUGAUUUAGGGUCUAGGAUUUAUCCAAUGGUUUAAAUUUUACACAAAGUUUUAGUGUUUAGUGUUUAUGAUUUAGGGUUUAGUAUUUUGCUGACAGCGUUAAUAAUGUUAAAAAUAAUUUAUUUUUUUGCAGCUAUUACUAUUUUUUAUUUAUUUUUAAAACAUAAUAUGAUUUGAUAAUUUAUUAUUAUUGAUUUUUUUUCCCAAAAAAAAUUGAAAAUGAAGUGGCAAACUAUUAUUGGUUGGUGAAUCUACCUAAAAAAACUCUUGGGUUCACCUCCCAUGGUGAACCUACCAACAAAAAGUAUUUUGUUAUUUCGUAUUCUAUAUAUUAAAAAAAACAAAAUAAAAUUUUUUUAUCAAGUUAUGUUUUAAGAAUAAAAA
Molecule: long non-coding RNA, 2293 nt
Organism: Brassica rapa (field mustard)
Lineage: Eukaryota; Viridiplantae; Streptophyta; Magnoliopsida; Brassicales; Brassicaceae
Source: RefSeq, a predicted model, not a curated record